GUUGUGGUGGUGGUGUGUAUAUUGUAGUGGUUGUGGUGGUGGUGGUAGUGGUGGUUUUGGUGGCUUUUGCAGUAGUAGUAGUAGUAGUAGUGGUGGUGGUGGUGGUAGAGAAAGGAAAGGAAUGGUAGAUAUAGAAAAAGAAGGGAAGGAAACAGAGAGAAGAAGAGGAAAGGAAGGAAAGAAAGUGGUGUAUGGGAAAGGAAGGGAAUUUUGAAUGGGAAAGGAAAGGGAAGAAUUAGCACACAGAGAAAGGGAAGAGAAGGAAAUAGUGUCUAGGAACGGAACAGAAAGUAAGAGAAGAAAAGAAAAGGAAGAAAGGGAAGGGGGAGAAAUGAGCUCAGUGACAGUGACGGAGGUGAUGAUGGUGAUGAAGAAGUGUGAGUCUUAACAAAUAGUGAGACAGCGGAUUGCAUGGUUAGGUGGUGGUGGUAGUGAUGGUGGUAUCUUGGUAGUAACUGGUUCUUAGUGGGUAGCGAGUGCGCAGGUGGAGGUGGUAAGUGGAGUAGAGAUAUUGAGUUAACUAUUAGUGGGUUAUGGGCCAUGGGUAGGUGGGUAAGAGGUGGGUUGGGGGAGGUGACUGUGGUAAGGAAGGUGGGUGUGUAAGGUAAGGUCGGGAGAUGAUGGUAGUAAGGUAGGAGGGUAAGGUAGGUAAGGAGGGCGUUUAAGGUAAGUUCGGGAGGUGUUAGAGGCAAACAUUUAAAGGUGGCAGCCGUAGAAAUAAUACCAAUAACAACAAACGCUAAAUAAGUACACUAUUCUAAGUAACACUAACCUACCUCGGCUACGUGAUAAGUGUUUCGGAGCUGCGGCAUUAGGUUAAGGGUGGAGGACGCGCUCGUCAUAACAACAGUGACUAAUGAGGAUAAUAAUGCUAUUUUAUUAACAGCAUAAGGAGGUAACCAGUAUUAAUAUUUCAAGCAGAGGUCAUUGGGUGGGAUGGAGGUGGUGUUGGUAAUAAUAGUAAUAGUAAUAAAAUUUGCUUCUCAUUAAUGCUAUUUUCUAAUGCGUAUAAUGACCCUUCAAGUUGGCUAGCAGUCUAAUGAUCUUGUGGCAUCUGCUAGUAGUAAUAAUGAUCAUAAAAUUUGCUCAACAUUAAUGCUAUUUACAUAUACAUCAAUAAUUCAAGUUGGCUAGCAGUCUAAUGAUCUUGUGGCAUCUGCUAGUAGUAUUAAUGAUCAUAAAAUUUGCUCAACAUCAAUGCUAUUUUCAUAUACGUCAAUAAUUCAAGUUUGCUAGUAGUCUAAUGAUCUUGUGGCAUCUGUGCUAGUAGUAUUAAUGAUCAUAAAAUUUGCUCAACAUCAAUGCUAUUUUCAUAUACGUCAAUAAUUCAAGUUUGCUAGUAGUCUAAUGAUCUUGUGGCAUCUGCUAGUAGUAUUAAUGAUCAUAAAAUUUGCUCAACAUUAAUGCUAUUUACAUAUACGUCAAUAAUUCAAGUUUGCUAGCAGUCUAAUGAUCUUGUGACAUCUGUGCUAGUAGUAUUAAUGAUCAUAAAAUUUGCUCAACAUUAAUGCUAUUUACAUAUACAUCAAUAAGUCAAGUUUGCUAGCAGUCUAAUGAUCUUGUGGCAUCUGCUAGUAGUAUUAAUGAUCAUAAAAUUUGCUCAACAUUAAUGCUAUUUACAUAUACGUCAAUAAUUCAAGUUUGCUAGCAGUCUAAUGAUCUUGUGGCAUUUGCUAGUGGUAUUAAUGAUCAUAAAAUUUGCUCAACAUUAACGCUAUUUACAUAUACGUCAAUAAUUCAAGUUGGCUAGUAGUCUAAUGAUCUUGUGACAUCUGUGCUAGUAGUAUUAAUGAUCAUAAAAUUUGCUCAACAUUAACGCUGUUUUCAUAUACGUCAAUAAUUCAAGUUUGCUAGUAGUCUAAUGAUCUUGUGGCAUCUGUGCUAGUAGUAUUAAUGAUCAUAAAAUUUGCUCAACAUUAACGCUAUUUACAUAUACGUCAAUAAUUCAAGUUUGCUAGCAGUCUAAUGAUCUUGUGGCAUCUGUGCUAGUAGUAUUAAUGAUCAUAAAAUUUACUCAACAUCAACGCUAUUUUCAUAUACGUCAAUAAUUCAAGUUUGCUAGUAGUCUAAUGAUCUUGUGGAAACCUUAAUGCUAAUAUAAUGACCCUUCAAGUUGGCUAGCAGUAUAAUGAUCUGUGUGCUGUAAUGACCAUGCUAAUAUAUCAUCGCUACUUCUUUCGCCGUAAUUAAAAUGCCUAAUCAGUAAGACAUUAAUUUCUCGGACAGGUGUUAUAAUGUAUCUAAUUAACCAGAGCAGGUGUUGUUGUUGUUGUUGUUGUUGACGGUAUAAAGCAAAUUCAUUCACAUUAAUAAUUGCUUGAUAAUUCUAAUGUUGGUUUGGACGUUGGCUGCUGUCCGCUUAACGUUGAUUUUGUUGAUGUAUUUUUACCUGAAGGGAGUGUAAUUUAUUAAUGCAGUAACCUGUUGAGUGUAGGAUUAGUAUUAUUGAUUUGUGAAAGAGUUAUAAAGUGCGUGUGUGUGUGUGUGUGUCAGGAAGCGUAGAUGUGUGUAUAUGUCCGUGUGUGUCUGCAAUGUAUGUAUAAUCGAAUGUAUUUGUGAGUAUGUAUGUGUGCGUCAUUGUCUGUGUGUGUGUGUGUGUGUGUGUGUGUAUGAAUGACUGAACGUAUUUGUGUGUGUACCAGUGUUUGUGUGCGUGUGUGUGUGUAUAUCAAUGUAUGUAUGUGUGUGUGUCAAUGUCUGUAUGUCUAUCUGUGUGUGUGUGUGUGUGUGUGUGUGUG
Eriocheir sinensis (Chinese mitten crab) is the source of this 2738-nucleotide long non-coding RNA. RefSeq lists it as uncharacterized. The record is from RefSeq and is a predicted model, not a curated record. NCBI's taxonomy places the organism in Eukaryota, Metazoa, Arthropoda, Malacostraca, Decapoda, Varunidae. The transcript is spliced from 4 exons.